Nerophis ophidion (straightnose pipefish) is the source of this 874-nucleotide long non-coding RNA. RefSeq lists it as uncharacterized. The transcript is spliced from 3 exons. The record is from RefSeq and is a predicted model, not a curated record. NCBI's taxonomy places the organism in Eukaryota, Metazoa, Chordata, Actinopteri, Syngnathiformes, Syngnathidae.
GGUUCUGUACAUGCAGGACUGCUUUCAUUUCUGUUUUAUGAGAUUAAAAACUCAUCUUACCUCCUCGUGGCUCUCCUGGUUCCUGCAUUUUAGGGUCACAAACAAUUGCAGCCAUGCGAGUUCCUCACACUGAAGAUUCUUUUUUCUUUCCUGCAUAUUUUACCUGAGGAGUGUGUGCUGAAUUCCUCGUCUAACCGGGGAGAAGAGGGAGUCCAAGUCUAGUGCUGAAUGAUACAACCAUCCUCUCAGUCGGCAUCCCGCAAUGCAGACGGGAUAGGCUCCAGCACACCCACGACCCUGAGAGGGACAAGCGGUAGAAAAUGGAUGGAUGGGCUGGGAGCCAAGAGACAGCUCUUCUCUCAAAACAGCGUUCCAUAUUAGCCAUAUGCUUCAGGGGUUAUCGGCCGUGCUUGUGGGGGCGCUUUUGUGUCAGCGUCCUGGUGGCCAUUGUCUGAUGACCUCCUGGUGAAGAUGGUUCCUGUGAUAGUGUUUACUCACAUGUCUCCUCUGUACUCUGCCAUGCAAUCAUUGGUCCAUAUAGUUGCAAAUGUGUAUAUGUUGUGUGUUUGUGUUUAGUAUCUGUGUCCGUGCGUACGUUUUUGAUAAUGGGGGAUAUGGGUCACCUGGGUAUUGUUUUUAACUUUUAUUUUAAUUAUGAAAAACGCUUUAUAAAUAAAGUUUUAUUGAUUGAUUGAUAAGUUAUCUAUGAUGAUUAUAAAGCUGUAUAAAUAAAUCUGUAUUGCAUGUACACUGGCAUGUCUUUCGAAGCAGUACAGGGCGCCAAAAAUGGGCAUUAUGACGGAUACAUUUUGGCGCGUGCUCACCAUACCGUUCUUCACACUCCGAUCCCAAUAUGGUAAACAUCACUGGUGCA